AAAGGGUUCCUCAUUCUUAGCAGGAGAGAAGCAUGGGAAGAGAGAGGCGCGUGAAUUUAAAGGACCUGUUGUGAGGAUAAGGACCUGUUGUGAGGAUAAGGACCUGUUGUGAGGAUAAGUCUGAACUGGGUAUACAGUAGGCAGAUUUGCACAUCGUCAGAGGAAGAGGAGAAACGCGACGUGAUGCGGCCCCUCAGAGGCCCCGCCGGCUAAAUGAAGACAGAUGCGGGCGUUCGCUUUCAAGAGGUGGUGCAAAUCGUAAUGGAUGGCCACUGCAGAUUUCAAGCCUUCAAUUCGGAGUCAUAGGAUCCCAGACAGCUGAUCGAGUUUCGUCAAAUGGCUUUCAUGAAAUUUCUCCAGUGGCUCUAUUGAUUUUGUGGACCUCCUCACCUCCGAGUCUGACCGUGGAAAAUGGACAUGCACACACAUAACUGACGAGAUAAACAGAGAAGAGCUUCAAACAUUUCCUCUCAAUGGCCAUUUUUAGCUGCAUGGAAGCAAAGCCAGAUAGAGCUUGAAGUGGACCCUGACCUGGCACCAGUGCGGCCAGAUCAGGGCCAAGUCCACCCGGCAGAUCACCGCCAACUGAGACUCCAGAGGCCUGGACCCUCUCGGGGGAGUAGGGGAUGAUGGAUGAGAUCUUCCUAAACUUAUGCAGCUCUACGUUCCUCUGGAUAUUGUGUUUCCGAUUCAAAUAGGCCACUGAUCACUUCAUAUAUAUGAGCUCUAGAAAAAGCGUGGUUAUAGAAUGUCAAAGGCAUCACCCCCGCAUAAAGGGUAGUGUAAUGUAUGAUUUAUAUCCUAUCACAACAACAACAAAAAGUAAAACAAAGACAUGAACGAAAACAUGCACAUGCAAGUGUGUGUGCGGGUGUGUGCGUGUGUGUGUGUGUGUGUGUGUGAUCCUGGAUAACUGAGUUCCCCAGUGCACUUCAUUUUUGUCCCUCCUAAUAUGUCCAUCAGCCACUGCACUGCAAAAAUUCAGCUUUCAAAAACAAAAAAAAACAAAAGAAAUAAAAUGGGUCUUAUAUUGCUUAAAAUAAGCAAAAUGAUCUGCCAACAGAACAGGAAAAUUUGACUCACCAAGAUUAAAAAAAUAUAGCAGUUUUGUACUUGUCAGUGGUGAUCAAACUAGUUUCAAGCAUUAACUUGUUCAGAAC
Molecule: long non-coding RNA, 1160 nt
Organism: Clupea harengus (Atlantic herring)
Lineage: Eukaryota; Metazoa; Chordata; Actinopteri; Clupeiformes; Clupeidae
Source: Ensembl